UCCCAAGGGUUCGGCUGUUCGCCGAUUAAAGCGGCACGCGAGCUGGGUUCAGAACGUCGUGAGACAGUUUGGUCUCUAUCCUCUGCGCUCGUUGGAAUCCUGAGGAGGCCUGCCCAUAGUACGAGAGGACCUGGGUGGACGGACCUCUGGUAUGCCGGUUGUCGCGCCAGCGGCAUGGCCGGUUGGCUACGUUCGGGAGGGAUAACCGCUGAAAGCAUCUAAGCGGGAAGCCUGCUCCAAGAUUAGGAUUCCUUGGCACUUCGGUGCCUGUAGCCCGCAUGCGGAACACGUGUUCGAUAGGCCGGAGGUGGAAGCCCCGCGAGGGGUGGAGCCGACCGGUACUAACGGGCGAACGCGGCACACUU
This 365-nucleotide ribosomal RNA is filed under the name Bifidobacterium sp. Its description in RNAcentral is "partial 23S ribosomal RNA". It matches the Rfam family "Bacterial large subunit ribosomal RNA", at positions 2563 to 2925 of the family's 2925-position model. The record is from RNAcentral. Lineage: Bacteria; Bacillati; Actinomycetota; Actinomycetes; Bifidobacteriales; Bifidobacteriaceae.